UAGGGGAGCCGUAGGGAAACCGAGUCUUAAUAGGGCGUUAAGUCUGUAGGAGUAGACCCGAAACCGAGCGAUCUAGCCAUGAGCAGGUUGAAGGUUGAGUAACAUCAACUGGAGGACCGAACCCACUCCCGUUGAAAAGGUAGGGGAUGACCUGUGGAUCGGAGUGAAAGGCUAAUCAAGCUCGGAGAUAGCUGGUUCUCCUCGAAAGCUAUUUAGGUAGCGCCUCAUGUAUCACUGUAGGGGGUAGAGCACUGUUUCGGCUAGGGGGUCAUCCCGACUUACCAAACCGAUGCAAACUCCGAAUACCUACAAGUGCCGAGCAUGGGAGACACACGGCGGGUGCUAACGUCCGUCGUGAAAAGGGAAACAACCCAGACCGUCAGCUAAGGUCCCAAAGUUAUGGUUAAGUGGGAAACGAUGUGGGAAGGCUUAGACAGCUAGGAGGUUGGCUUAGAAGCAGCCACCCUUUAAAGAAAGCGUAAUAGCUCACUAGUCGAGUCGGCCUGCGCGGAAGAUGUAACGGGGCUCA
RNAcentral lists this non-coding RNA (529 nucleotides) under Anabaena sp. CRKS33. RNAcentral describes it as "bacterial LSU rRNA". It matches the Rfam family "Bacterial large subunit ribosomal RNA", at positions 658 to 1184 of the family's 2925-position model. Lineage: Bacteria; Bacillati; Cyanobacteriota; Cyanophyceae; Nostocales; Nostocaceae. The record is from RNAcentral.